RNAcentral lists this ribosomal RNA (500 nucleotides) under uncultured bacterium. RNAcentral describes it as "partial 16S ribosomal RNA". It matches the Rfam family "Bacterial small subunit ribosomal RNA", at positions 30 to 523 of the family's 1533-position model. The record is from RNAcentral.
AUUGAACGCUGGCGGCAUGCCUUACACAUGCAAGUCGAACGGAUUGAAGGGGCUUGCUCCUUCAGUUAGUGGCGAACGGGUGAGUAAAGCAUCGGAACGUACCCAGUCGUGGGGGAUAACGUAGCGAAAGUUACGCUAAUACCGCAUACGAUCUGAGGAUGAAAGCGGGGGAUCGCAAGACCUCGCGCGAUUGGAGCGGCCGAUGUCGGAUUAGCUAGUUGGUGAGGUAAAGGCUCACCAAGGCGACGAUCCGUAGCUGGUCUGAGAGGAUGAUCAGCCACACUGGAACUGAGACACGGUCCAGACUCCUACGGGAGGCAGCAGUGGGGAAUUUUGGACAAUGGGGGAAACCCUGAUCCAGCCAUGCCGCGUGAGUGAAGAAGGCCUUCGGGUUGUAAAGCUCUUUCAGUCGGAAAGAAAAGGCUCCGGAUAAUACCUGGAGUUGAUGACGGUACCGACAGAAGAAGCACCGGCUAACUACGUGCCAGCCGCCGCCGCCG